Molecule: long non-coding RNA, 194 nt
Organism: Sebastes umbrosus (honeycomb rockfish)
Lineage: Eukaryota; Metazoa; Chordata; Actinopteri; Perciformes; Sebastidae
Exons: 3
Source: RefSeq, a predicted model, not a curated record
CUCCUCCGAUCUGACCGAUAGUCGACAAGUACCUUAAGGGAAAGUUGAAAAGAACUGUGAGGAGAGAGUUCAAGAGGGCGUGAAACCAUUGAGAGGUAAACGGUUGGGGUCCGCGCAGUCUGCCCGGGGGAUUCAACUCGGCGGGUUAGGUACGGCCACUCAGUGUGGGAGGAUCCCCUCGCGGGACCUCUCCG